UACGUAGGUGGCAAGCGUUAUCCGGAUUUAUUGGGUUUAAAGGGAGCGUAGGUGGAUUGUUAAGUCAGUUGUGAAAGUUUGCGGCUCAACCGUAAAAUUGCAGUUGAAACUGGCAGUCUUGAGUACAGUAGAGGUGGGCGGAAUUCGUGGUGUAGCGGUGAAAUGCUUAGAUAUCACGAAGAACUCCGAUUGCGAAGGCAGCUCACUAGACUGCAACUGACACUGAUGCUCGAAAGUGUGGGUAUCAAACAGG
This 253-nucleotide ribosomal RNA is filed under the name uncultured bacterium. Its description in RNAcentral is "partial 16S ribosomal RNA". It matches the Rfam family "Bacterial small subunit ribosomal RNA", at positions 524 to 776 of the family's 1533-position model. The record is from RNAcentral.